CUUACAAAAGGGCAGUCCAAUUGCUGUAUACUGUUAAGAAUGGACAAUGUACCCGCGGUACGAUACAUCAACCGCUUGGGGGGCACCCAGUCGAGAACCCUGGCGCAUCUGACGAAGGAAAUCUUCGACUACUGCCUCCCGCGCAAUAUCACACUACGGGCAGAACACCUGCCGGGGGAGACGAACCUCACGGCGGAUUGGUAUUCCCGUCAUUGGAGGGAUGCCAGCGACUGGCAACUGGAUCCGCGAAUAUUCGCACACCUACAAGACCAGAAGGGACCCUUUCUACUGGAUCUCUUUGCCUCACGAAACAACCGGCAGGUCCCGCAAUUCUACAGCUGGCUACCGGACCCGGAUUGCUUAGCGGUAGAUGCCUUCACUCAGCACUGGCCACAACAAGGGGCAUAUGCCUUUCCC
Molecule: non-coding RNA, 417 nt
Organism: Pelobates cultripes (western spadefoot toad)
Lineage: Eukaryota; Metazoa; Chordata; Amphibia; Anura; Pelobatidae
Source: the annotation of a GenBank genome assembly